CUGGGGGGUGCUUACCAUGCAAGUCGAACGGAGAAUACUAAGAAGCUUGCUUUGAGGUGUUCUCAGUGGCGGACGGGUGAGUAACGCGUGAGGAACCUGGUUCAUACAGGGGGAUAACAUAGGGAAACUUAUGCUAAUACCGCAUAAGACCACGGAGCCGCAUGGCUCGGGGGUCAAAGGAGAAAUCCGGUAUGAAAUGGACUCGCGUCCCAUUAGAUAGUUGGCGGGGUAACGGCCCACCAAGUCGACGAUGGGUAGCCGAGCUGAGAGGCUGAACGGCCACACUGGAACUGAGAGACGGUCCAGACUCCUACGGGAGGCAGCAGUGGGGAAUAUUGGGCAAUGGGCGAAAGCCUGACCCAGCAACGCCGCGUGAGUGAAGAAGGUUUUCGGAUUGUAAAACUCUGUCCUUGGGGACGAAGGAAGUGACGGUACCCGAGGAGGAAGCCCCGGCUAACUACGUGCCAGCAGCCGCGGUAAUACGUAGGGGGCAAGCGUUGUCCGGAAUUACUGGGCGUAAAGGGCGUGUAGGCGGCCUUUUAAGUUUCGUGUGAAAACCCCGUUUUCAAGGCGGGAGGUGCACGGGAUACUGGAGGGCUUGAGUGCAGGAGAGGGAAGUGGAAUUCCAAGUGUAGCGGUGAAAUGCGUAGAGAUUUGGAGGAACACCAGUGGCGAAGGCGACUUUCUGGACUGCAACUGACGCUGAGACGCGAAAGCGUGGGGAGCAAACAGGAUUAGAUACCCUGGUAGUCCACGCUGUAAACGAUGAAUGCUAGGUGUGGGAGGUAUCGACCCCUUUCCGUGCCGCAGUUAACACAUA
Molecule: ribosomal RNA, 820 nt
Filed under: uncultured rumen bacterium
Lineage: Bacteria
Description: bacterial SSU rRNA
Rfam family: Bacterial small subunit ribosomal RNA
Source: RNAcentral